Molecule: small nuclear RNA, 162 nt
Filed under: Mus spretus (western wild mouse)
Lineage: Eukaryota; Metazoa; Chordata; Mammalia; Rodentia; Muridae
Description: predicted gene, 25184 (ENSMSPG00010004269.1)
Rfam family: U1 spliceosomal RNA (bases 1-143)
About the family: U1 is a small nuclear RNA (snRNA) component of the spliceosome (involved in pre-mRNA splicing). Its 5' end forms complementary base pairs with the 5' splice junction, thus defining the 5' donor site of an intron.
Source: RNAcentral
AAAAAACCCAGAGGAGAUAACAUUAUCAAGAAAGUGUUUUUUCAGGGAUGCUCACUUGUACUCUACAUAUGUUGACUCCAGUGAUUUCCUAAAAUGUAGGAACUUGAUGAAAUAAUUUGUGAUAAUGGGGAACCACAUUCUUACUCUGGAAGUGGGUCGGCC